UGGCUACUCCCUCCCUUCGGAAUUACUCGUCACAAAAAAGAUGUAUCUACAACUAAAAUACAUCUAGAUACAUUCAUUUCUUGGACGAGUAAUUCCGAAUGGAGGGAGUAGUUU
Molecule: non-coding RNA, 114 nt
Organism: Triticum aestivum (bread wheat)
Lineage: Eukaryota; Viridiplantae; Streptophyta; Magnoliopsida; Poales; Poaceae
Source: Rfam